RNAcentral lists this ribosomal RNA (441 nucleotides) under uncultured bacterium. RNAcentral describes it as "partial 16S ribosomal RNA". It matches the Rfam family "Bacterial small subunit ribosomal RNA", at positions 338 to 795 of the family's 1533-position model. The record is from RNAcentral.
CCUACGGGUGGCAGCAGUAGGGAAUUUUGCGCAAUGGGCGAAAGCCUGACGCAGCAACGCCGCGUGAUUGAUUAAGCCCUUCGGGGUGUAAAGCUCUGUCAGUGGGGACGCAACUUGACGGUACCCACAGAGGAAGCACCGGCUAACUCAGCGCCAGCAGCCGCGGUAAUACGGAGGGUGCAAGCGUUGUGCGGAAUCAUUGGGCGUAAAGAGUUCGUAGGGUGCUUAGUAAGUCGGGUGUUAAAGGCAGAAGCUCAACUUCUGGUCGGCACUGGAUACUGGUAAGCUUGAAUGCGGUAGGGGGAAAGGGAAUUCUUGGUGUAGCGGUGAAAUGCGUAGAUAUCAGGAGGAACAUCGGUGGCGAAGGCGCUUUACUGGACCGUAACUGACACUGAGGAACGAAAGCCGGGGGAGCAAAUGGGAUUAGAUACCCCAGUAGUC